This 158-nucleotide ribosomal RNA is filed under the name Lagenidium sp. PWL-2010d. RNAcentral's name for it is "5.8S ribosomal RNA". The stretch from base 25 to 158 matches the Rfam family "5.8S ribosomal RNA", at positions 1 to 132 of the family's 154-position model. Rfam says of the family: 5.8S ribosomal RNA (5.8S rRNA) is a component of the large subunit of the eukaryotic ribosome. It is transcribed by RNA polymerase I as part of the 45S precursor that also contains 18S and 28S rRNA. Functionally, it is thought that 5.8S rRNA may be involved in ribosome translocation. The record is from RNAcentral. Lineage: Eukaryota; Oomycota; Peronosporomycetes; Pythiales; Pythiaceae.
AGUUCUUGGUUUUACUUAGACAACAACUUUCAGCAGUGGAUGUCUAGGCUCGCACAUCGAUGAAGAACGCUGCGAACUGCGAUACGUAAUGGCGAAUUGCAGAAUUCAGUGAGUCAUCGAAAUUUUGAACGCAUAUUGCACUUCCGGGUUAUGCCUGG